AGAGUUUGAUCAUGGCUCAGAGCGAACGCUGGCGGCAGGCUUAACACAUGCAAGUCGAGCGGGCGUAGCAAUACGUCAGCGGCAGACGGGUGAGUAACGCGUGGGAACAUACCUUUUGGUUCGGAACAACACAGGGAAACUUGUGCUAAUACCGGAUAAGCCCUUACGGGGAAAGAUUUAUCGCCGAAAGAUUGGCCCGCGUCUGAUUAGCUAGUUGGUGAGGUAAUGGCUCACCAAGGCGACGAUCAGUAGCUGGUCUGAGAGGAUGAUCAGCCACAUUGGGACUGAGACACGGCCCAAACUCCUACGGGAGGCAGCAGUGGGGAAUAUUGGACAAUGGGCGCAAGCCUGAUCCAGCCAUGCCGCGUGAGUGAUGAAGGCCCUAGGGUUGUAAAGCUCUUUUGUGCGGGAAGAUAAUGACGGUACCGCAAGAAUAAGCCCCGGCUAACUUCGUGCCAGCAGCGGCGGUAAUUC
RNAcentral lists this ribosomal RNA (474 nucleotides) under uncultured bacterium. RNAcentral's name for it is "bacterial SSU rRNA". It matches the Rfam family "Bacterial small subunit ribosomal RNA", at positions 8 to 526 of the family's 1533-position model. The record is from RNAcentral.